UACGAAGGGGGCGAGCGUUGUUCGGAUUUACUGGGCGUAAAGGGCGUGUAGGCGGCCUUUUAAGUCCUGCGUGAAAUCCUGCGGCUCAACCGCAGACGGUCGUGGGAAACUGGAAGGCUAGAGUGCGGGAGAGGAGAGUGGAAUUCCCGGUGUAGCGGUGAAAUGCGCAGAUAUCGGGAAGAACACCCGUGGCGAAGGCGGCUCUCUGGAACGCAACUGACGCUGAGACGCGAAAGCGUGGGGAGCAAACAGG
RNAcentral lists this ribosomal RNA (253 nucleotides) under uncultured bacterium. RNAcentral's name for it is "partial 16S ribosomal RNA". It matches the Rfam family "Bacterial small subunit ribosomal RNA", at positions 524 to 776 of the family's 1533-position model. The record is from RNAcentral.